RNAcentral lists this ribosomal RNA (180 nucleotides) under uncultured Saccharomyces. RNAcentral describes it as "partial 26S ribosomal RNA". It matches the Rfam family "Eukaryotic large subunit ribosomal RNA", at positions 62 to 239 of the family's 3401-position model. Lineage: Eukaryota; Fungi; Ascomycota; Saccharomycetes; Saccharomycetales; Saccharomycetaceae. The record is from RNAcentral.
AAACCAACCGGGAUUGCCUUAGUAACGGCGAGUGAAGCGGCAAAAGCUCAAAUUUGAAAUCUGGUACCUUCGGUGCCCGAGUUGUAAUUUGGAGAGGGCAACUUUGGGGCCGUUCCUUGUCUAUGUUCCUUGGAACAGGACGUCAUAGAGGGUGAGAAUCCCGUGUGGCGAGGAGUGCGU